This 531-nucleotide ribosomal RNA is filed under the name uncultured Mycobacterium sp. RNAcentral describes it as "bacterial SSU rRNA". It matches the Rfam family "Bacterial small subunit ribosomal RNA", at positions 355 to 896 of the family's 1533-position model. Lineage: Bacteria; Bacillati; Actinomycetota; Actinomycetes; Mycobacteriales; Mycobacteriaceae. The record is from RNAcentral.
UGGGGAAUAUUGCACAAUGGGCGCAAGCCUGAUGCAGCGACGCCGCGUGGGGGAUGACGGCCUUCGGGUUGUAAACCUCUUUCAGUAGGGACGAAGCGUGAGUGACGGUACCUAUAGAAGAAGCACCGGCCAACUACGUGCCAGCAGCCGCGGUAAUACGUAGGGUGCGAGCGUUGUCCGGAAUUACUGGGCGUAAAGAGCUCGUAGGUGGUUUGUCGCGUUGUUCGUGAAAACUCACAGCUUAACUGUGGGCGUGCGGGCGAUACGGGCAGACUGGAGUACUGCAGGGGAGACUGGAAUUCCUGGUGUAGCGGUGGAAUGCGCAGAUAUCAGGAGGAACACCGGUGGCGAAGGCGGGUCUCUGGGCAGUAACUGACGCUGAGGAGCGAAAGCGUGGGGAGCGAACAGGAUUAGAUACCCUGGUAGUCCACGCCGUAAACGGUGGGUACUAGGUGUGGGUUUCCUUCCUUGGGAUCCGUGCCGUAGCUAACGCAUUAAGUACCCCGCCUGGGGAGUACGGCCGCAAGGCUA